ACGCUGGCGGCGUGCCUAAUACAUGCAAGUAGAACGCUGAAGAGAGGAGCUUGCUCUUCUUGAAUGAGUUGCGAACGGGUGAGUAACGCGUAGGUAACCUGCCUUGUAGCGGGGGAUAACUAUUGGAAACGAUAGCUAAUACCGCAUAACAAUGGGUGACGCAUGUCAUUUAUUUGAAAGGGGCAAUUGCUCCACUACAAGAUGGACCUGCGUUGUAUUAGCUAGUAGGUGAGGUAACGGCUCACCUAGGCGACGAUACAUAGCCGACCUGAGAGGGUGAUCGGCCACACUGGGACUGAGACACGGCCCAGACUCCUACGGGAGGCAGCAGUAGGGAAUCUUCGGCAAUGGGGGCAACCCUGACCGAGCAACGCCGCGUGAGUGAAGAAGGUUUUCGGAUCGUAAAGCUCUGUUGUAAGUCAAGAACGAGUGUGAGAGUGGAAAGUUCACACUGUGACGGUAGCUUACCAGAAAGGGACGGCUAACUACGUGCCAGCAGCCGCGGUAAUACGUAGGUCCCGAGCGUUGUCCGGAUUUAUUGGGCGUAAAGCGAGCGCAGGCGGUUUGAUAAGUCUGAAGUUAAAGGCUGUGGCUCAACCAUAGUUCGCUUUGGAAACUGUCAAACUUGAGUGCAGAAGGGGAGAGUGGAAUUCCAUGUGUAGCGGUGAAAUGCGUAGAUAUAUGGAGGAACACCGGUGGCGAAAGCGGCUCUCUGGUCUGUAACUGACGCUGAGGCUCGAAAGCGUGGGGAGCGAACAGGAUUAGAUACCCUGGUAGUCCACGCCGUAAACGAUGAGUGCUAGGUGUUGGAUCCUUUCCGGGAUUCAGUGCCGCAGCUAACGCAUUAAGCACUCCGCCUGGGGAGUACGACCGCAAGGUUGAAACUCAAAGGAAUUGACGGGGGCCCGCAC
This 911-nucleotide ribosomal RNA is filed under the name uncultured bacterium. Its description in RNAcentral is "bacterial SSU rRNA". It matches the Rfam family "Bacterial small subunit ribosomal RNA", at positions 33 to 926 of the family's 1533-position model. The record is from RNAcentral.